UCGCACGAAGAAGCAGGAGCAAUCUUGUGAGUAAAGUGGCGUACGGGUGAGUAACACGUGGAUCAUCUACCUUCUAGUGGGGCAUACCUCUGGGAAACCGGAGAUAAUUCCGCAUAAGCUCGUAAGAGGAAAGCAGCAAUGCGCUGGAAGAGGAGUCCGCGGCUGAUUAGCUAGAUGGCGGGGUAACGGCCCACCAUGGCGAAGAUCGGUAGCCGGCCUGAGAGGGCACACGGCCACACUGGCACUGAAACACGGGCCAGACUCCUACGGGAGGCAGCAGUGGGGAAUCUUGCACAAUGGAGGCAACUCUGAUGCAGCGACGCCGCGUGAGCGAUGAAGCCCUUCGGGGUGUAAAGCUCUUUCGACGGGAAAGAUGAUGACGGUACCCGGAGAAGAAGCUGCGGCUAACUACGUGCCAGCAGCCGCGGUAAUACGUAGGCAGCGAGCGUUGUUCGGAAUUACUGGGCGUAAAGAGUGUGUAGGCGGUGUUCCAAGUCUGGUGUGAAAUCUCCCGGCUUAACUGGGAGGGUGCGCCGGAAACUGGAAUGCUCGAGGGUGGGAGAGGUAAGCGGAAUUCCUGGUGUAGCGGUGAAAUGCGUAGAUAUCAGGAGGAACACCUGUGGUGUAGACAGCUUACUGGACCACUUCUGACGCUGAGACACGAAAGCGUGGGUAGCAAACAGGAUUAGAUACCCUGGUAGUCCACGCCCUAAACGAUGCAUACUUGGUGUGAGCGAUUCAUUUCGUUCGUGCC
Molecule: ribosomal RNA, 754 nt
Filed under: uncultured bacterium
Lineage: Bacteria
Description: bacterial SSU rRNA
Rfam family: Bacterial small subunit ribosomal RNA
Source: RNAcentral